This 84-nucleotide transfer RNA is filed under the name bovine gut metagenome. It matches the Rfam family "tRNA". From Rfam's summary of the family: Transfer RNA (tRNA) molecules are approximately 80 nucleotides in length. Their secondary structure includes four short double-helical elements and three loops (D, anti-codon, and T loops). Further hydrogen bonds mediate the characteristic L-shaped molecular structure. tRNAs have two regions of fundamental functional importance: the anti-codon, which is responsible for specific mRNA codon recognition, and the 3' end, to which the tRNAs corresponding amino acid is attached (by aminoacyl-tRNA synthetases). tRNAs cope with the degeneracy of the genetic code in two manners: having more than one tRNA (with a specific anti-codon) for a particular amino acid; and 'wobble' base-pairing, i.e. permitting non-standard base-pairing at the 3rd anti-codon position. The record is from RNAcentral.
GAGAGAUGGCUGAGCGGUCAAAGGCACCUGACUCGAAAUCAGGCGAGGUGAUGAGCCUCCGUGGGUUCGAAUCCCACUCUCUCC